AUCUCUCUAUUUCCAUGUAUCUUCAGUUUUUGUCCCCCUUUUUUUGUUGUUUUUGCCACAUACUUUAUUCCCGCAAGCCAAAAAUAAAGCUGGAGAAAGACGGAAGGAAAUUCUGAAACAAGAGUUUUUUUUAAAGAAAAGGGACGGCGGAGUAUUAACGGUGCUGCCUCUGGCUUGGAUCUCCAAUGGCAGGAUUGACCUCGCCUUCCUAUUGAGCACCCUUGAAAUGGAACUCUGAUGCAUUGUGAUUGAGAGAUUAAUUCCGGAAUGUAGAUUGAGCCGGGGACACUCACCGAGGAGAAUCUGGUGAAUGGAAGGGCUGGAUAGAUCAGAGGAGAGCAUGGAACACAAGCUGCUGCUCACCAGCUCCGAUGUCUUCCCAAGAAAUGCCAUUCAACGCUGAUAGCUUUUAGAAUUCAAACUGUGAAUAACUUGCUGUCAAAGGUAGGUACAGAUGGGUGACUGUCUCUAUGCUUCCUUUUAUUUCCAUCAGGAUAUCCUCUCUACCCUACAUUUUGUCCUCUUCCAUAUUUGCCUCUUUCUUCCUGCACCAUUUCCCAUGAGGACCUGUCCUGGGGAGGCCCCCACCUCCACCCUGUAUCUCGUCAACACCAUCCAAAUAGGCAGCAUUUGAUUGCCUGCGUAUGUAGCUCUCUCCAACGUUUUUCCUCACACCAGUUGUCAGGCAGCUUAUCCAAAGCCUGGUGGUAUGUGAACAGAAUUGUCUUCUAAAUAAUUGAUGGGUAGACGGCCUCCAAAUUCCAUCAGACUUUUGCCAGCUAAUCCGUGUCUCGCCCUGGGUUAGAAUCAGAUACAGCACCUGAUUGUAAAAUUUUAAAAAAAGACCCACAAAAUGUGGGAAUCACUCAUCGGAUCAGGCAGGCAUCAAUGGCAAGAACAUUCAGUGCUUCAAAAAGUUGUGAUAAAGGCUGCAGACCCAAAACGUUGACUGGUUAUUUUUUUCAAAGAUGCUGCUCAAUCUUUUACUUUAAUUUCAGAUUUUAAGCAUCUGCAGAUCUUUUUAUUUUUCUUAUUAUUUACAGUUUGAGUAAAUUGACGGCAAGAUGAUCUUCAUGUAUCUGUACGUCAGCCUUUCCCACCUCCUACCUGCUCCAGCAAACUGUGGCAGAAAUCCUUGUCACUUUGGUCAAGAUCUCUGUUCUGACUCAUUAUUCUACACUAAGCCUUUGGUCAUCUGUGAUUUACCAUCCUUGCCCAUCAUCUUUGCUUAUCGACUUCUGACUCCUAGUUAAGAAACUAAUCCGAUUUUUCAAAUUCUCAGUGCUGUUUCUAAUUCCUUUUGUUAUCUUACCUUGCAUAUCCUUCUAAUUUCCCUGAGCCCUUUAACCGUUGGGUUAUUUGCUGUAGUCUAAUGUUUGACCUGCAUUUAAUUGUUCUAUCUUGGCCAUUGUGCAUUCAGCUGCUAAGAGCUAAACUCCGGAAUUCCCUUCUGAAAGCUUUCUACUUUUUGUUUAAAGUACUACCUCCUUAAUCAACCUUUUGACCAUCUGCAGUAAAUUUUGGGUGCCUUGAGAUAUUUGCUAGCUAAUUGGAUAUUAUUGUUGAAAUUGUUAUUUCCUCUUGCAUUCUCCAUCUGCAACUUUUCCUGUCCCCUCAAUGAAUCCCACUUCCCCAACGUUACCUUCCCUUACCCAAUUAACUUGGAGUUCACAGGGUAAAAGUUCCAGAUCUCCAAGUGAGGUGAAUUUCUUGAACAGAUUUUUAUGCCUCUUCUCCUGUGAUUAGAUGGGGCUAUUUGCAAGAAUCAGCUGGGGUUAACUAUCAGACAGGACAUGGGACUUGAUUAGCUAUGUACUUAGAAGCUCCUCUAAGAGCACGGGCCAAUAGGUCUAAGGUGUAACUUCUCUCUUGCUCGCUCCACACCACGUCCAUCAGCAUUGCCCAAAUUCUAUCACUUGCCUGAACAGUAGGAGCAGUUUACAACAUCCAUUUAAUCUCUCUGUGUGCACAGUUUUGGGAUGUGGGAGGAAGCGGGAUUCCCCCAGCACUCCAGAAGGGUCAUAGGGAGAACGUGUAAUCUCCACACACUCGACACCUGAUGAUCGAACUAAAAUCUCUGGUGCUGUGAGGCAGCAGCUGUACAACUUGAGCAUUCCCUCUGUCCUCGGGUAAAAAAUAAUCCCGUUGACUCUGUGGGGCUCGUAAGUUCCACGUGUCCUAGGUAGAUAUAUCUCUCACUGCCACCAAAAACUGAUAAUCUAGUCAUUACCUCGUGUGUUGGGGGACUUGGGCAACUGAUUUUAUUUGGGAAGGAGAUUGCUUAAUCAUAAAGUGUUUUGGGCAUGCAGAAGGCACUGUAUAAAACCAAAUCCUUAUAUUUUUAAACGUGUACCCUAAACUGAGGGCAGGACAGAAAUACAUUACUCCGAGCACAUAUAUAAAAAUUACUGCUAGCAUGUCACACUGCAGUGUGCAGGCAGUAGUGCUCCUCGAGAGGCUGCGGCAUUGUUUAAGCCCCUCGCAUUAUUUGCUUUGAGAAUAGCUGGUAGCUUUG
Mobula hypostoma (lesser devil ray) is the source of this 2515-nucleotide long non-coding RNA. RefSeq lists it as uncharacterized. The record is from RefSeq and is a predicted model, not a curated record. NCBI's taxonomy places the organism in Eukaryota, Metazoa, Chordata, Chondrichthyes, Myliobatiformes, Myliobatidae. The transcript is spliced from 4 exons.